UACGUAGGGGGCAAGCGUUGUCCGGAUUUAUUGGGCGUAAAGAGCGUGUAGGCGGUCAGGUAGGUCGGUUGUGAAAACUGGAGGCUCAACCUUCAGAGGUCGACCGAAACCCCCUGGCUAGAGUCCGGGAGAGGAGAGUGGAAUUCCUGGUGUGGCGGUGAAAUGCGCAGAUAUCAGGAAGAACACCCGUGGCGAAAGCGGCUCUCUGGAACGGUACUGACGCUGAGACGCGAAAGCGUGGGGAGCGAACAGG
Molecule: ribosomal RNA, 253 nt
Filed under: uncultured bacterium
Lineage: Bacteria
Description: partial 16S ribosomal RNA
Rfam family: Bacterial small subunit ribosomal RNA
Source: RNAcentral